UUAAAUACUUUAUUUUUAAGUAAUCUCUACACCUAAUGUGAAGCUUGAACCCACAAUCCUAAGAUGAAGAGUCACAUGUUUCACCAACUGAGCCAUCCAGGUGCACAAACUCCCUACU
This is a long non-coding RNA of Mustela erminea (ermine), 118 nucleotides long. RefSeq lists it as uncharacterized. The transcript has 3 exons. NCBI's taxonomy places the organism in Eukaryota, Metazoa, Chordata, Mammalia, Carnivora, Mustelidae. The record is from RefSeq and is a predicted model, not a curated record.